GGAGCUUGCUUCUCCGGAUGAGUUGCGAACGGGUGAGUAACGCGUAGGUAACCUGCCUGGUAGCGGGGGAUAACUAUUGGAAACGAUAGCUAAUACCGCAUAACAGUAGAUAUUGCAUGAUAUCUGCUUGAAAGGUGCAAUUGCAUCACUACCAGAUGGACCUGCGUUGUAUUAGCUAGUUGGUGGGGUAACGGCUCACCAAGGCAACGAUACAUAGCCGACCUGAGAGGGUGAUCGGCCACACUGGGACUGAGACACGGCCCAGACUCCUACGGGAGGCAGCAGUAGGGAAUCUUCGGCAAUGGACGGAAGUCUGACCGAGCAACGCCGCGUGAGUGAAGAAGGUUUUCGGAUCGUAAAGCUCUGUUGUAAGAGAAGAACGAGUGUGAGAGUGGAAAGUUCACACUGUGACGGUAUCUUACCAGAAAGGGACGGCUAACUACGUGCCAGCAGCCGCGGUAAUACGUAGGUCCCGAGCGUUGUCCGGAUUUAUUGGGCGUAAAGCGAGCGCAGGCGGUUAGAUAAGUCUGAAGUUAAAGGCUGUGGCUUAACCAUAGUACGCUUUGGAAACUGUUUAACUUGAGUGCAAGAGGGGAGAGUGGAAUUCCAUGUGUAGCGGUGAAAUGCGUAGAUAUAUGGAGGAACACCGGUGGCGAAAGCGGC
RNAcentral lists this ribosomal RNA (663 nucleotides) under uncultured Bacilli bacterium. RNAcentral's name for it is "bacterial SSU rRNA". It matches the Rfam family "Bacterial small subunit ribosomal RNA", at positions 75 to 725 of the family's 1533-position model. The record is from RNAcentral. Lineage: Bacteria; Bacillati; Bacillota; Bacilli.